CCUACGGGAGGCAGCAGUGGGGAAUAUUGCACAAUGGGGGAAACCCUGAUGCAGCGACGCCGCGUGAGUGAAGAAGUAUCUCGGUACGUAAAGCUCUAUCAGCAGGGAAGAAAAUGACGGUACCUGACUAAGAAGCACCGGCUAACUACGUGCAAGCAGCCGCGGUAAUACGUAGGGGGCAAGCGUUAUCCGGAUUUACUGGGUGUAAGGGGAGCGUAGACGGCAGCACAAGUCUGGAGUGAAAUCCCGCGGCUUAACACCGGAACUGCUUUGGAAACUGUGCGGCUGGAGUGCAGGCGGGGUAAGCGGAAUGCGUAGUGUAGCGGUGAAAUGCAUAGAUAUUACGAGGAACACCGGUGGCGAAGGCGGCUUACUGGACUGUAACUGACGUUGAGGCUCGAAAGCGUGGGGAGCAAACAGGAUUAGAUACCCGAGUAGUC
RNAcentral lists this ribosomal RNA (440 nucleotides) under uncultured bacterium. RNAcentral's name for it is "partial 16S ribosomal RNA". It matches the Rfam family "Bacterial small subunit ribosomal RNA", at positions 338 to 795 of the family's 1533-position model. The record is from RNAcentral.